CCUACUGGUGGCAGCAGUGGGGAAUAUUGCACCAUGGGGGAAACCCUGAUGCAGCGACGCCGCGUGAGUGAAGAAGUAGUUCGUUCUGUAACGCUCUAUCAGCCGGGACGAAAAUGACGGUACCUGAGUACGCAGCCCCGGCUAACUACGUGCCAGCAGCCGCGGUAAUACGUAGGGGGCAAGCGUUAUCCGGCUGUACUGGGUGUACAGGGAGCGUAGACGGCAGUGCAAGUCUUGAGUGAAAGGCGGGGGCUCAACCCCCGGACUGCUCUGGAAACUGUACGGCUGGAGUGCAUGAGAGGUAAGUGGAAUUCCUAGUGUAGCGGUGAAAUGCGUAGAUAUUAGGAGGAACACCAGUGGCGAAGGCGGCUUACUGGACUGUAACUGACGUGGAGGCUCGAAAGCGUGGGGAGCAAACAGGAUUAGAUACCCCAGUAGUC
This 440-nucleotide ribosomal RNA is filed under the name uncultured bacterium. Its description in RNAcentral is "partial 16S ribosomal RNA". It matches the Rfam family "Bacterial small subunit ribosomal RNA", at positions 338 to 795 of the family's 1533-position model. The record is from RNAcentral.